GACGAACGCUGGCGGCGUGCUUAACACAUGCAAGUCGAACGAAGUAGCAAUACUUAGUGGCGGACGGGUGCGUAACACGUGACUAACUUGCCCCACACUGUGGAAUAACGGAGGGAAACUUCCGCUAAUACCGCAUGUUGAGCGCGGAUGGCAUCAUUUGCGCUUGAAAGAUUUAUCGGUGUGGGAUAGGGUCGCGGCCUAUUAGCUUGUUGGUGGGGUAAUGGCCUACCAAGGCGACGAUGGGUAGCUGGUCUGAGAGGAUGAUCAGCCACACUGGGACUGAGAUACGGCCCAGACUCCUACGGGAGGCAG
This 312-nucleotide ribosomal RNA is filed under the name uncultured bacterium. RNAcentral's name for it is "bacterial SSU rRNA". It matches the Rfam family "Bacterial small subunit ribosomal RNA", at positions 28 to 351 of the family's 1533-position model. The record is from RNAcentral.